Molecule: transfer RNA, 68 nt
Filed under: Sphaerodactylus townsendi
Lineage: Eukaryota; Metazoa; Chordata; Lepidosauria; Squamata; Sphaerodactylidae
Description: tRNA-Ala
Source: RNAcentral
GGGCUGGCUCAGGGUAGAGCAUCUACUUGGCAUGCAGAAGGUCCCAGGUUCAAUCUUUAGCAUCUUCA